RNAcentral lists this ribosomal RNA (467 nucleotides) under uncultured bacterium. RNAcentral describes it as "partial 16S ribosomal RNA". It matches the Rfam family "Bacterial small subunit ribosomal RNA", at positions 28 to 507 of the family's 1533-position model. The record is from RNAcentral.
GACGAACGCUGGCGGCGUGCUUAACACAUGCAAGUCGAACGGAAAGGCCUGCUUUUGUGGGGUGCUCGAGUGGCGAACGGGUGAGUAACACGUGAGUAACCUGCCCUUGACUUUGGGAUAACUUCAGGAAACUGGGGCUAAUACCGGAUAGGAGCUCCUGCUGCAUGGUGGGGGUUGGAAAGUUUCGGCGGUUGGGGAUGGACUCGCGGCUUAUCAGCUUGUUGGUGGGGUAGUGGCUUACCAAGGCUUUGACGGGUAGCCGGCCUGAGAGGGUGACCGGCCACAUUGGGACUGAGAUACGGCCCGGACUCCUACGGGAGGCAGCAGUGGGGAAUAUUGCACAAUGGGCGGAAGCCUGAUGCAGCAACGCCGCGUGCGGGAUGACGGCCUUCGGGUUGUAAACCGCUUUCGCCUGUGACGAAGCGUGAGUGACGGUAAUGGGUAAAGAAGCACCGGCUAACUACGUG